AGGGAACGGUUGCUGAUGAUGUA
RNAcentral lists this microRNA (23 nucleotides) under Drosophila melanogaster (fruit fly). RNAcentral describes it as "dme-miR-6-3-5p". Its record names the gene dme-miR-6-3-5p. Lineage: Eukaryota; Metazoa; Arthropoda; Insecta; Diptera; Drosophilidae. The record is from miRBase by way of RNAcentral. RNAcentral also lists the same sequence under 2 other names.